This 127-nucleotide small RNA is filed under the name Marmota monax (woodchuck). The record is from RNAcentral. Lineage: Eukaryota; Metazoa; Chordata; Mammalia; Rodentia; Sciuridae.
GCCUGACAUGGUAGUGCAUGCCUGUAAUCCCAGCAACUCUGGAGGCUGAGGCAGGAGGAUCGUGAGUUCAAAGCCCAUAUCAGCAAUUUAGUGAGGCACUUAGCAACUCAGUGAGACCCUGCCUCUA